Molecule: ribosomal RNA, 253 nt
Filed under: uncultured bacterium
Lineage: Bacteria
Description: partial 16S ribosomal RNA
Rfam family: Bacterial small subunit ribosomal RNA
Source: RNAcentral
UACGUAGGGACCAAGCGUUGUUCGGAUUUACUGGGCGUAAAGGGCGCGUAGGCGGCGCGGUAAGUCACUUGUGAAAUCUCUGAGCUUAACUCAGAACGGCCAAGUGAUACUGCAGUGCUAGAGUGUGGAAGGGGCAAUCGGAAUUCUUGGUGUAGCGGUGAAAUGCGUAGAUAUCUGGAGGAACACCGGUGGCGAAGGCGGCAUCCUGGACCGGUAUUGACGCUGAGGCGCGAAAGCCAGGGGAGCAAACGGG